GGGGACGUAGUUUAGUGGUAGAACACAUGCUUUGCAAGCAUGGGGUCACCGGUUCAAAUCCGGUCGUCUCCA
Molecule: transfer RNA, 72 nt
Filed under: Pyramimonas parkeae
Lineage: Eukaryota; Viridiplantae; Chlorophyta; Pyramimonadophyceae; Pyramimonadales; Pyramimonadaceae
Description: tRNA-Ala
Rfam family: tRNA
About the family: Transfer RNA (tRNA) molecules are approximately 80 nucleotides in length. Their secondary structure includes four short double-helical elements and three loops (D, anti-codon, and T loops). Further hydrogen bonds mediate the characteristic L-shaped molecular structure. tRNAs have two regions of fundamental functional importance: the anti-codon, which is responsible for specific mRNA codon recognition, and the 3' end, to which the tRNAs corresponding amino acid is attached (by aminoacyl-tRNA synthetases). tRNAs cope with the degeneracy of the genetic code in two manners: having more than one tRNA (with a specific anti-codon) for a particular amino acid; and 'wobble' base-pairing, i.e. permitting non-standard base-pairing at the 3rd anti-codon position.
Source: RNAcentral